This 468-nucleotide ribosomal RNA is filed under the name uncultured bacterium. Its description in RNAcentral is "partial 16S ribosomal RNA". It matches the Rfam family "Bacterial small subunit ribosomal RNA", at positions 28 to 507 of the family's 1533-position model. The record is from RNAcentral.
GACGAACGCUGGCGGCGUGCUUAACACAUGCAAGUCGAACGGAAAGGCCCUGCUUUUGUGGGGUGCUCGAGUGGCGAACGGGUGAGUAACACGUGAGUAACCUGCCCUUGACUUUGGGAUAACUUCAGGAAACUGGGGCUAAUACCGGAUAGGAGCUCCUGCUGCAUGGUGGGGGUUGGAAAGUUUCGGCGGUUGGGGAUGGACUCGCGGCUUAUCAGCUUGUUGGUGGGGUAGUGGCUUACCAAGGCUUUGACGGGUAGCCGGCCUGAGAGGGUGACCGGCCACAUUGGGACUGAGAUACGGCCCAGACUCCUACGGGAGGCAGCAGUGGAGAAUAUUGCACAAUGGGCGGAAGCCUGAUGCAGCAACGCCGCGUGCGGGAUGACGGCCUUCGGGUUGUAAACCGAUUUCGCCUGUGACGAAGCGUGAGUGACGGUAAUGGGUAAAGAAGCACCGGCUAACUACGUG